UACGUAGGGUGCGAGCGUUAAUCGGAAGUACUGGGCGUAAAGCGUGCGCAGGCGGUUCUAUAAGACAGAUGUGAAAUCCCCGGGCUCAACCUGGGAAUGGCAUUUGUGACUGUAGAGCUAGAGUACGGUAGAGGGGGAUGGAAUUCCGCGUGUAGCAGUGAAAUGCGUAGAUAUGCGGAGGAACACCGAUGGCGAAGGCAAUCCCAUGGAACUGUACUGAAGCUCAUGCAAGAAAGCGUGGGGAGAACACAGGCUUCGAUACCACGGUAGUCC
RNAcentral lists this ribosomal RNA (273 nucleotides) under uncultured bacterium. Its description in RNAcentral is "partial 16S ribosomal RNA". It matches the Rfam family "Bacterial small subunit ribosomal RNA", at positions 524 to 796 of the family's 1533-position model. The record is from RNAcentral.